AUGGUCUUCAGAAGAGGUCUGCUGGAAUUGAUUCUUAUGGCUUCUGUUGAUGUUGACGCGGAACGAACUGAUGUUUAAACUGAUGACGUUGUUGUUUUCUCUUUGAAAGGGUCCCUGUUUCAGAAUAACAUGUAUUUUGAGUCCACUUGCAAACUGACCUCUACAAGCCUGUGAAUUUGACAGCUUAAAUCCCAAGUGAUUCAUACAAUUUCUCACUCCCACUACUGAUUUUUCUAUUUUCCGCACUCCUUGCAUAGAGCUUCUUAAUGUUCCCGAGCCUAUUCAGGAGUUAUUUCAAACGCAAACAGAAAUAGAGAAUCGAGACCUUCAAUUGAUACCUGUGUUCAGAAGCUGCAACUGGGCAUCCCAAAAUCAUCUAGACAUAGGUCACAACCCUCACUAGGCACCUUGGCAAUUUAUUGGCAUGUCUUAAAGCUCCUUAUUGACAUUUAAAAC
Molecule: long non-coding RNA, 456 nt
Filed under: Vitis vinifera (wine grape)
Lineage: Eukaryota; Viridiplantae; Streptophyta; Magnoliopsida; Vitales; Vitaceae
Description: long non-coding RNA (VVIN_LNC004449)
Source: RNAcentral